RNAcentral lists this ribosomal RNA (2112 nucleotides) under Escherichia coli. RNAcentral's name for it is "partial 23S ribosomal RNA". It matches the Rfam family "Bacterial large subunit ribosomal RNA", at positions 344 to 2444 of the family's 2925-position model. The record is from RNAcentral. Lineage: Bacteria; Pseudomonadati; Pseudomonadota; Gammaproteobacteria; Enterobacterales; Enterobacteriaceae.
GGAAAGGCGCGCGAUACAGGGUGACAGCCCCGUACACAAAAAUGCACAUGCUGUGAGCUCGAUGAGUAGGGCGGGACACGUGGUAUCCUGUCUGAAUAUGGGGGGACCAUCCUCCAAGGCUAAAUACUCCUGACUGACCGAUAGUGAACCAGUACCGUGAGGGAAAGGCGAAAAGAACCCCGGCGAGGGGAGUGAAAAAGAACCUGAAACCGUGUACGUACAAGCAGUGGGAGCACGCUUAGGCGUGUGACUGCGUACCUUUUGUAUAAUGGGUCAGCGACUUAUAUUCUGUAGCAAGGUUAACCGAAUAGGGGAGCCGAAGGGAAACCGAGUCUUAACUGGGCGUUAAGUUGCAGGGUAUAGACCCGAAACCCGGUGAUCUAGCCAUGGGCAGGUUGAAGGUUGGGUAACACUAACUGGAGGACCGAACCGACUAAUGUUGAAAAAUUAGCGGAUGACUUGUGGCUGGGGGUGAAAGGCCAAUCAAACCGGGAGAUAGCUGGUUCUCCCCGAAAGCUAUUUAGGUAGCGCCUCGUGAAUUCAUCUCCGGGGGUAGAGCACUGUUUCGGCAAGGGGGUCAUCCCGACUUACCAACCCGAUGCAAACUGCGAAUACCGGAGAAUGUUAUCACGGGAGACACACGGCGGGUGCUAACGUCCGUCGUGAAGAGGGAAACAACCCAGACCGCCAGCUAAGGUCCCAAAGUCAUGGUUAAGUGGGAAACGAUGUGGGAAGGCCCAGACAGCCAGGAUGUUGGCUUAGAAGCAGCCAUCAUUUAAAGAAAGCGUAAUAGCUCACUGGUCGAGUCGGCCUGCGCGGAAGAUGUAACGGGGCUAAACCAUGCACCGAAGCUGCGGCAGCGACGCUGAUGCGUUGUUGGGUAGGGGAGCGUUCUGUAAGCCUGCGAAGGUGUGCUGUGAGGCAUGCUGGAGGUAUCAGAAGUGCGAAUGCUGACAUAAGUAACGAUAAAGCGGGUGAAAAGCCCGCUCGCCGGAAGACCAAGGGUUCCUGUCCAACGUUAAUCGGGGCAGGGUGAGUCGACCCCUAAGGCGAGGCCGAAAGGCGUAGUCGAUGGGAAACAGGUUAAUAUUCCUGUACUUGGUGUUACUGCGAAGGGGGGACGGAGAAGGCUAUGUUGGCCGGGCGACGGUUGUCCCGGUUUAAGCGUGUAGGCUGGUUUUCCAGGCAAAUCCGGAAAAUCAAGGCUGAGGCGUGAUGACGAGGCACUACGGUGCUGAAGCAACAAAUGCCCUGCUUCCAGGAAAAGCCUCUAAGCAUCAGGUAACAUCAAAUCGUACCCCAAACCGACACAGGUGGUCAGGUAGAGAAUACCAAGGCGCUUGAGAGAACUCGGGUGAAGGAACUAGGCAAAAUGGUGCCGUAACUUCGGGAGAAGGCACGCUGAUAUGUAGGUGAAGCGACUUGCUCGUGGAGCUGAAAUCAGUCGAAGAUACCAGCUGGCUGCAACUGUUUAUUAAAAACACAGCACUGUGCAAACACGAAAGUGGACGUAUACGGUGUGACGCCUGCCCGGUGCCGGAAGGUUAAUUGAUGGGGUCAGCGCAAGCGAAGCUCUUGAUCGAAGCCCCGGUAAACGGCGGCCGUAACUAUAACGGUCCUAAGGUAGCGAAAUUCCUUGUCGGGUAAGUUCCGACCUGCACGAAUGGCGUAAUGAUGGCCAGGCUGUCUCCACCCGAGACUCAGUGAAAUUGAACUCGCUGUGAAGAUGCAGUGUACCCGCGGCAAGACGGAAAGACCCCGUGAACCUUUACUAUAGCUUGACACUGAACAUUGAGCCUUGAUGUGUAGGAUAGGUGGGAGGCUUUGAAGUGUGGACGCCAGUCUGCAUGGAGCCGACCUUGAAAUACCACCCUUUAAUGUUUGAUGUUCUAACGUGGACCCGUGAUCCGGGUUGCGGACAGUGUCUGGUGGGUAGUUUGACUGGGGCGGUCUCCUCCUAAAGAGUAACGGAGGAGCACGAAGGUUGGCUAAUCCUGGUCGGACAUCAGGAGGUUAGUGCAAUGGCAUAAGCCAGCUUGACUGCGAGCGUGACGGCGCGAGCAGGUGCGAAAGCAGGUCAUAGUGAUCCGGUGGUUCUGAAUGGAAGGGCCA